This is a small nuclear RNA of Jaculus jaculus (lesser Egyptian jerboa), 107 nucleotides long. The record is from RefSeq and is a predicted model, not a curated record. NCBI's taxonomy places the organism in Eukaryota, Metazoa, Chordata, Mammalia, Rodentia, Dipodidae.
GUACUCACUUCAGCAGUACACAUAUAAAAAUUGGAAAGAUACAAAGAUACAAAGCAUAGUGCCUACACAAAGAUGACACACAAUUUUGUGAAGCACUCCAUACAAUU